GGGGGCUAGGAUGAAAUUUGAAAAAAAAUAGGCAGGACAGGAGUUGUGAGUAAAAAAAAAGACAGGAUGAGACAAUUGCCAAAAAAAAAAGUCAGGAUAAACUAAAAAAAAAAAAGCAGGACCAAACAGAGUGAAAAAUAAAAAGGCAGGACAGAGAUUACAGCUAAAAAAAAAAUGCAGGACAAAAAUUUUUCAUCCUAGCCCCCCCCC
Molecule: long non-coding RNA, 210 nt
Filed under: Mytilus galloprovincialis (Mediterranean mussel)
Lineage: Eukaryota; Metazoa; Mollusca; Bivalvia; Mytilida; Mytilidae
Source: RNAcentral